ACGGGUGAGUAACGCGUGGGAACGUGCCUUUCGGUUCGGAAUAACUCAGGGAAACUUGAGCUAAUACCGGAUACGCCCUUUGGGGGAAAGAUUUAUUGCCGAAAGAUCGGCCCGCGUCCGAUUAGCUAGUUGGUGUGGUAAUGGCGCACCAAGGCGACGAUCGGUAGCUGGUCUGAGAGGAUGAUCAGCCACACUGGGACUGAGACACGGCCCAGACUCCUACGGGAGGCAGCAGUGGGGAAUAUUGGACAAUGGGCGCAAGCCUGAUCCAGCCAUGCCGCGUGAGUGAUGAAGGCCCUAGGGUUGUAAAGCUCUUUCGCCAGGGACGAUAAUGACGGUACCUGGAUAAGAAGCCCCGGCCAACUUCGUGCCAGCAGCCGCGGUAAUACGAAGGGGGCUAGCGUUGUUCGGAAUCACUGGGCGUAAAGCGCACGUAGGCGGAUCUUUAAGUCAGGGGUGAAAUCCCGAGGCUCAACCUCGGAACUGCCUUUGAUACUGGAGGUCUCGAGUUCGGGAGAGGUGAGUGGAACUGCGAGU
RNAcentral lists this ribosomal RNA (537 nucleotides) under uncultured bacterium. RNAcentral's name for it is "bacterial SSU rRNA". It matches the Rfam family "Bacterial small subunit ribosomal RNA", at positions 102 to 674 of the family's 1533-position model. The record is from RNAcentral.